AUUUAUAACAACUUUAAGUUUGAAGAAGGUGAAAGCCUGAAAUUAAGUAAAAUACUGACUAAAUUUGAGGAACACUGCAUACCAAAAAGGCCUGAAGUACAAACAUGAGAGGUGCUGUAUUGGCUGUGG
This is a long non-coding RNA of Gopherus evgoodei (Goodes thornscrub tortoise), 129 nucleotides long. RefSeq lists it as uncharacterized. NCBI's taxonomy places the organism in Eukaryota, Metazoa, Chordata, Testudines, Testudinidae. The record is from RefSeq and is a predicted model, not a curated record. The transcript has 3 exons.